GGGGCCGUGCCGUACCCGUCACCGGCGGCGGCCGUCUCCCGGACGGCGGCGGGGCCGUUCUGCGCGGCGCUGCCCUG
This 77-nucleotide transfer RNA is filed under the name Streptomyces mashuensis. RNAcentral describes it as "tRNA-Gly". Lineage: Bacteria; Bacillati; Actinomycetota; Actinomycetes; Kitasatosporales; Streptomycetaceae. The record is from RNAcentral.